Molecule: unclassified non-coding RNA, 317 nt
Filed under: Hevea brasiliensis (rubber tree)
Lineage: Eukaryota; Viridiplantae; Streptophyta; Magnoliopsida; Malpighiales; Euphorbiaceae
Source: RNAcentral
AAAUAUGGAAGCCAUUUUUUUCAAAGGUAAUCAUAAGUAUAGUUUCUGUUAACCAGCCCUCUGGAGCAUCACAUAACAGAAACUGUGCAAUUGUGUUAAACAAUAGAUUUAGUCAAUGUGUUAAAGGAGUAAUGAAUUUUUAGCAUAGAUGGUGUUGAUGACACUUCCUUCAGUAACUCUGUUUGAUUGAUACGUAUGUUCAUGUUGAGCAUUGUCCUGGUAAUUCACAAGCAGAACCACCGACCAAUGGAUUUCUGAUGAAGUGGUUGAGAAUUUGGGGCAAAAAGAAAUAUGGAAGCAAGAUUGCACUUUGCUUC